GGGGGGGGGGGGGGGGGGGCUGGGCGCGGGCAGGGCGGGGGGGGUUGAGUAGACAGAAGCCUCGGCUAAAGAUUACUAAUGAGAGUGGCGAACGGGUGAGUAACGCGUGAGCAACCUGCCUAUGACAGUGGGAUAGCCUCGGGAAACCGGGAUUAAUACCGCAUAAAAUCGUAGAAACACAUGUUUUAACGGUCAAAGAUUUAUCGGUCAUAGAUGGGCUCGCGUCUGAUUAGCUAGUUGGUGAGAUAACAGCCCACCAAGGCGACGAUCAGUAGCCGGUCUGUGAGGAUGAACGGCCACAUUGGAACUGAGACACCGUCCCAACUCCUACCGGAGGCAGCAGUGGGGGAUAUUGCACAAUGGGGGAAACCCUGAUGCAGCGACGCCGCGUGAACGAAGAAGGUAUUCGUAUCGUAAAGUUCUGUCCUAUGGGAAGAUAAUGACAGUACCAUAGAAGAAAGCUCCGGCUAAAUACGUG
Molecule: ribosomal RNA, 478 nt
Filed under: uncultured bacterium
Lineage: Bacteria
Description: partial 16S ribosomal RNA
Rfam family: Bacterial small subunit ribosomal RNA
Source: RNAcentral